RNAcentral lists this ribosomal RNA (568 nucleotides) under uncultured bacterium. Its description in RNAcentral is "bacterial SSU rRNA". It matches the Rfam family "Bacterial small subunit ribosomal RNA", at positions 41 to 654 of the family's 1533-position model. The record is from RNAcentral.
GGCACGCCUAAUACAUGCAAGUCGAACGGGGUAGCAAUACCUAGUGGCAGACGGGUGAGUAACAUGUGGGUACCUUCCCUUUGGUGAGGAAUAACACGAGGAAACUUGUGCUAAUACCUCAUAAGUCUUUACGGAGAAAGCUUUAUGCGCCAAUGGAUGGGCUCGCACUUGAUUAGUUAGUUGGUAAGGUAAUGGCUUACCAAGACUUUGAUCAAUAGCUGAUUUGAGAGGAUGAUCAGCCACAUUGGGACUGAGACACGGCCCAAACUCCUACGGGAGGCAGCAGUAGGGAAUCUUGCACAAUGGAGGAAACUCUGAUGCAGCGAUGCCGCGUGAGUGAAGAAGGCCUUUGGGUUGUAAAGCUCUUUCGUCGGGGAAGAAAAUGACUGUACCCGAAUAAGAAGGUCCGGCUAACUUCGUGCCAGCAGCCGCGGUAAUACGAAGGGACCUAGCGUAGUUCGGAAUUACUGGGCUUAAAGAGUCCGUACGUGGUUAAAAUAGUUGGUGGUGAAAUCCCAGAGCUUAACUCUGGAACUGCCAUCAAAACUUUUUAGCUAGAGUAUGAUAG